GUGAAUCAUCGAAUCUUUGAACGCACAUUGCGCCUUCCGGUAUUCCGGGAGGCACGCCUGUUUGAGCGUCAGUGAACACCUUCCGCCCCGCGGUUUUUUUCGGAACCGCGGGUGCGGGUGCUUGGCGAGGGAUCGGUGGCGGCCGCUGCUCCGGCGCGGCAAUCCUUCCCCCGCUCAACCGCCGGAGAAAGCUAGCGGGCAGGCGCCCCCAUCGCGACGACUCGUAGAUCACCGUCUCCGUCGUACCGCGUUUGGGGAGCCCCCGGCCUAAAACCCGUGCAGCCCGUUCACCGGCCACUGAAUCUUGACCUCAAAUCAGGCGAGGAUACCCGCUGAACUUAAGCAUAUCAAUAAGGCGAGG
RNAcentral lists this ribosomal RNA (361 nucleotides) under uncultured fungus. RNAcentral's name for it is "eukaryotic LSU rRNA". The stretch from base 1 to 71 matches the Rfam family "5.8S ribosomal RNA", at positions 84 to 154 of the family's 154-position model. The record is from RNAcentral. Lineage: Eukaryota; Fungi.